UCCCGUUGAUCCUGCGGGAGAUAACUGCUAUCGGGAUACGACUUAGCCAUGCAAGUCCAGGGGGUGUUUCGGCACCACCGGCGAAGGGCUCAGUAACACGUCAAUAAUCUACCUUAUGGUUAGGGAUAGCCUUGGGAAACUGAGGGUAAUACCUAAUAGAAGAUAAAUACUGGAAUGUUUUAUCUUUUAAAGGCAACGCCAUAAGAUGAGUUGGCGGCUGAUUAGGUUGUUGGUGAGGUAAAGGCUCACCAAGCCGACGAUCAGUAGGGGGGAUGAGAGUCCUAGCCCCGAGAAGGACACUGAGAUAAGGGUCCUAGCCCUAAGGGGUGCAGCAGGCGCGAAACCUUUACAAUGCACGAAAGUGUGAUAAGGGUAUCCCGAGUGCUUACCUUAUGGUGAGCUUUUGCCAAGUGUAAAAAGCUUGGAGAAUAAGUGGUGGGAAAGACCGGUGCCAGCAGCCGCGGUAACACCGGCGCCACGAGUGGUUAUCAGUUUUAUUGGGUCUAAAGCGUCUGUAGCCGAUUAUUUAAGUCUUUUGUGAAAUUGUUGGGCUUAACCCAUCAACGGGCAAGAGAUACUGGAUAGUUAGGGACCGGGAGGAGACAAGAGAACUCAUUGGGAAGCGGUAAAAUGUUUUAAUCCUUUGAGGACUACCGAUGGCGAAGGCACUUGUCCAGAACGGGUCCGACGGUGAGAGACGAAAGCCAGGGGAGCGAACAGGAUUAGAUACCCUAGUAGUCCUGGCCGUAAACGCUGCCAACUAUGUGUUGCAUGUUCUCUGUGAACAUGCAGUGCCGGAGUGAAGACGUUAAGUUGGCCACCUGGGAAGUACGGCCGCAAGACUGAAACUUAAAGGAAUUGGCGGGGGCGCACUACAAGGAGUGCGGCGUGCGGUUUAAUUUAACUAUACGCAGAACAUCUCACCAGAAGCGACGGCAGGAUGAAGGUCAGAUUGAAGGUUUUACCUGACGAGCCGAGAGAUGGUGCAUGGCCGCCGUCAGUUCGUGCCGUAAGGUGUCCUGUUAAGUCAGGUAACGAACAAGACCUAUACUUACAUUUGCUAACGAGUCAUUCCGAUGUUCGAGCACUAUGUAGGGACUGCCUUGGUAACAAGGAGGAAGGUGUAGGCAACGGUAGGUCUGUAUGCCUCGAAUCUUCUGGGCUACACGCGCGCAACAAUGGUUGGGACAAUGGGCUACAACUCCGAAAGGAGAAGUCAAUCCUCCAAACCCAAUCUUAGUUCAGAUUGAGGGCUGUAACUCGCCCUCAUGACGAUGGAAUUCCUAGUAAUCGGGUUUCAACACGGCCCGGUGAAUAUGUCCCUGUGCCUUGCACACACUGCCCGUCACUCCAACCGAGCAGGGUCUAGAUGAGGUGUAAUCUUUUUGAUUAUUCCGAAUCUAGGUUCAGUGAGGAGGGAUAAGUCGUCACAAGGUA
This 1437-nucleotide ribosomal RNA is filed under the name metagenome. RNAcentral's name for it is "bacterial SSU rRNA". It matches the Rfam family "Archaeal small subunit ribosomal RNA". The record is from RNAcentral.